RNAcentral lists this ribosomal RNA (210 nucleotides) under uncultured bacterium. RNAcentral describes it as "partial 16S ribosomal RNA". It matches the Rfam family "Bacterial small subunit ribosomal RNA", at positions 589 to 793 of the family's 1533-position model. The record is from RNAcentral.
CAGAUGUGAAAGACCCGGGGCGUCAACCUCGGAAUAGCAUUUGAAACUAGGCAAACUAGAGUACUGUAGAGGGGGGUAGGAAUUUCAGGUGUAGCGGUGAAAUGCGUAGAGAUCUGAAGGAAUACCGGUGGCGAAGGCGGCCCCCUCGGACAGAUACUGACACUCAGAUGCGAAAGCGUGGGGAGCAAACAGGAUUAGAUACCCUGGUAG